RNAcentral lists this long non-coding RNA (1404 nucleotides) under Canis lupus familiaris (dog). RNAcentral's name for it is "lncRNA (ENSCAFG00000054069.1)". Lineage: Eukaryota; Metazoa; Chordata; Mammalia; Carnivora; Canidae. The record is from RNAcentral.
UCCGGGGUUGGGUUCUUCUUUUCAUUCCAUCUGGGGGGCACAUUGACAAUGCAUGUUAUCUCCUUGGGCCGUAGUCUCCCAUCCGAAACACGGGGAAAGCCUUUCAAUCUUUCUGAAUGGCAAAACCUCUGCCCAUUUUUUAAAAAUGUAAUCGUGCACAGGUGCCACUCUGGAAGAUCCUCACUGAGAAGGUGGCUCUGCGCUGGACAAAGCAGAGCUGGUGGUGGGGGUGGGGGGAGGGGGGCGGUGGGCAGGAUUCAGUGUUGGUAACAGAUGCCCUAUCAUCACAAUCCAGUGACCUCCGGACCUGAAAAGUGUUGCACCAUAUUACAUUUGCUGGUCAUCUGACAUCUGUGGGCCCAGGAUGGAAAAGGAAAUGGGAUGGAGAUGUGUGCCACCAGAGAGAAGGACCUUCACCCUUUGGCUUCAUGUCCAAUGUUGGAAGACUGCGUCCUAUACAGGACAGAAGACUGACUCCAGAAGAACAGUUUGCUGGUAUUGAUUCUCACACUAAUUUGCAGUGUGUCCUGGGGUCUGACACUAGUGCUCUUUGAGGCUCUCUUCAUCCCAAAAAGGAGAUUGGGAUAGAAAAAUCUCCACUCCUACUCUCUCACUUGAUUAGGUGUCUCUGCUACUCAAACCAUAGUGUUUGGUAUAGUCAACAGGAUUGAGUCCCUUAUCACUUCCCUAAAUUUGCUCCUGGAUGAACAGGACUUUGCUGAAUAUAAUAAUAUUAUUGUAGCGCCCUCUAUGCCUUGAGCACUUGCUAGUUACCUGGCUUUACAUUUAGGGUUUUCCAUUGCUUUAACAGCUAUGGACUUACUAUGAUGGUUCUUACUUUUUUUUGUGUGUGUGUGCCAUGGAUUCCUUUGGAAGUCUGGGAAACCUGUGGAUCCUUUCUCAGAAUAAUGAUUUUAAAUGCAUAAAAUAAAACACAUAGAAUUACAAAAGCUACCCAUGAUCUUGAAAUGCAGUUGUGAAAAUAUUUUAAAGACCUACAUUUGUGAUAUAGUAAUAUAUGUGAUUUUUAACUAUUGCAUUAAAUAACAAGAUUGAGUGACAGAUAGUCAAUGUAGUGAUGAGUACAAACAAUUCUUUGAGCUACCUGUUACAAGUACACAUUGAUGUGACAAUACCCAUGAUUCUAUUGGUUACAUAGUCCUAGGUCAGUGCUAAUAUCAUGAUGGAUUUCUGCCUAUGACAUACAACAUGUCAGUUAGAGGCUAGUGAAAAUAAAGAUGUUAUUAUUUUACCAUCCAAGUUCCCAAACCCACUGAAUUCUAUCCACGGAUCCCCUUGAGGGUCUGUGGGUCUAGGUAAACCAUCCAUGGACUAGAAAGACUCAGAGCUACUUUCUUUUUUCUCUCCAUGCUCUGAUUUUCUCAUCCUUAAAGUAGGGAUAAU